Bacillus rossius redtenbacheri is the source of this 456-nucleotide long non-coding RNA. RefSeq lists it as uncharacterized. Lineage: Eukaryota; Metazoa; Arthropoda; Insecta; Phasmatodea; Bacillidae. The transcript is spliced from 4 exons. The record is from RefSeq and is a predicted model, not a curated record.
GUCGUAUGAUCGCGUUCGAGUUCUCCCAGCUUUACUUCCCGUCUCUACAACUCCAGCAGCUUGGUAUUCAGUGCUUCUCCUUGCGUCGAGCUACUCCCCAGUGUGAUCCGCUUGGAGAACGCCUGUCUGCCCUCUGGAGUCCUGCACCGUUCCUCUUCGAUUCCGGUUACAGUGUGCUGUACGACGUUCCAGCCCUCCUCGUUGUGCGUGCGUGCAGUACACACAGAGUCGUUCCUGUGUUCUUCUGACUUCAUCAUGAAGAGGACCGCGUCUGGUGUUCCCGUGGCAGCCGGCCAGCCCUCGACAUCAGGAGCCCUCCAGCCCUCGACCUCGGGAGCCGUCCAGCCCUCGACGUCGGGAGCCUGCCAGCUUGUGUCAUCUCAGGUAUGUGCACCAUCAUCAGGGAAUGGGUGUGCAUACUGUGGCAAAGGUUUUACCAAUACUCAAAAUGCCAGA